GGGAAGAUAAUGACGGUACCAGGAGGAAGCUCCGGCUAACUACGUGCCAGCAGCCGCGGUAAUACGUAGGGAGCAAGCGUUGUCCGGAUUUACUGGGUGUAAAGGGUGCGUAGGCGGCUCUUCAAGUCAGGCGUGAAAUAUAUGGGCUUAACCCAUAGACUGCGUUUGAAACUGUGGAGCUUGAGUGAAGUAGAGGUAGGCGGAAUUCCCGGUGUAGCGGUGAAAUGCGUAGAGAUCGGGAGGAACACCAGUGGCGAAGGCGGCCUACUGGGCUUUAACUGACGCUGAGGCACGAAAGCAUGGGUAGCAAACAGGAUUAGAUACCCUGGUAGUCCAUGCCGUAAACGAUGAUUACUAGGUGUGGGGGGUCUGACCCCUUCCGUGCCGGAGUUAACACAAUAAGUAAUCCACCUGGGGAGUACGACCGCAAGGUUGAAACUCAAAGGAAUUGACGGGGGCCCGCACAAGCAGUGGAGUAUGUGGUUUAAUUCGAAGCAACGCGAAGAACCUUACCAGCUCUUGAC
RNAcentral lists this ribosomal RNA (524 nucleotides) under uncultured Chloroflexota bacterium. Its description in RNAcentral is "bacterial SSU rRNA". It matches the Rfam family "Bacterial small subunit ribosomal RNA", at positions 442 to 985 of the family's 1533-position model. The record is from RNAcentral. Lineage: Bacteria; Bacillati; Chloroflexota.